GCGAGUCCCUCUGCCCUGCUACGGUAGUAGAAGAAACCCAUUGAUUCUUCCUCUCAACACAUGUGGGAAAACUGCUGAUACUUCCUCUCUGGUGUGAGUACGACUGGGUGACGGUGAGCGAGGUUGGGACUUCGACACCCACCGAGAGGCUCUGCGGAGACUGGAGCACCAAAUUGAAACUCCUGAGAUAUGUCAGUAGCGGCAACCGUGUGGUUCUUACCUUCGUCAGUGAUUACGCUCACGACUUCCCGGGGUUCCGGGCGAGGGUGUCAGCGCGCACUGGAAGCGGGUGUGGAGACGGUCGUGAGGUCCGACAUGGGGAUGUGUGCUACCUGCUGGUUUCCUACCCACAGGUGACAUGGACAACAGCAACACACAUCUGCUCAGAUAUGGAGGGAAGCCUGGCGAGUGUGAGCAGCAGGAAUGUGUUGAGGUGGCUGGGUUCGGGACUUCUCUCCCUGUCUGACUACGCUGCAGGUACCCUCUACUGGCUUGGUGGCACUUUACACCCCUACACCCACACUUGGACCUGGCAGGAUGGCACCAUACUUAAUACCACAGGUAUGCCCUACACCUGCAGCCCUACACACUUCCCUGUAGCAAAUAGGAUGACAGUAUGAUCCUUACGGUGGGUUUACUGUUUCAACCAUUAAUGUAAUCUGGUUAUAGUAAGCAUAUCAGGUACCACCGAUCUC
Molecule: non-coding RNA, 695 nt
Organism: Cherax quadricarinatus
Lineage: Eukaryota; Metazoa; Arthropoda; Malacostraca; Decapoda; Parastacidae
Source: RefSeq, a predicted model, not a curated record